This 70-nucleotide transfer RNA is filed under the name Greenidea psidii. Its description in RNAcentral is "tRNA-Tyr". The record is from RNAcentral. Lineage: Eukaryota; Metazoa; Arthropoda; Insecta; Hemiptera; Aphididae.
GAUAAAAUGGCUGAAAUUAGGUUAUAAAUUGUAAAUUUAUAUAUAGAUAAAAUAAAUUAUCUUUUUAUCA